UAUCGGAUUGAUACUAAGCCAUGCGAGUCAUUGCAGUAAUGCAAGGCAGACGGCUCAGUAACGCGUAGUCAACCUACCCUAUGGACGGGAAUAACCUCGGGAAACUGAGUAUAAUGCCCGAUAGAACACUAUUCCUGGAAUGGUUUGUGUUCCAAAUGGUUUAUCGCCGUAGGAUGGGACUGCGGCCUAUCAGUUUGUUGGUGAGGUAAUGGCCCACCAAGACUAUUACAGGUACGGGCUCUGAGAGGAGUAGCCCGGAGAUGGGUACUGAGACACGGACCCAGGCCCUAUGGGGCGCAGCAGGCGAGAAAACUUUGCAAUGUGCGAAAGCACGACAAGGUUAAUCCGAGUGGUUUGUGCUAAACGAACCUUUUGACAGUCCUAGAAACACUGUUGAAUAAGGGGUGGGCAAGUUCUGGUGUCAGCCGCCGCGGUAAAACCAGCACCUCAAGUGGUCAGGAUGAUUAUUGGGCCUAAAGCAUCCGUAGCCGGCUCUGUAAGUUUUCGGUUAAAUCUGUACGCUCAACGUACAGGCUGCCGGGAAUACUGCAGAGCUAGGGAGUGGGAGAGGUAGACGGUACUCGGUAGGAAGGGGUAAAAUCCUUUGAUCUAUUGAUGACCACCUGUGGCGAAGGCGGUCUACCAGAACACGUCCGACGGUGAGGGAUGAAAGCUGGGGGAGCAAACCGGAUUAGAUACCCGGGUAGUCCCAGCUGUAAACUAUGCAAACUCAGUGAUGCAUUGGCUUGUGGCCAAUGCAGUGCUGCAGGGAAGCCGUUAAGUUUGCCGCCUGGGAAGUACGUACGCAAGUAUGAAACUUAAAGGAAUUGGCGGGGGAGCACCACAAGGGGUGAAGCCUGCGGUUCAAUUGGAUUC
Molecule: ribosomal RNA, 876 nt
Filed under: uncultured archaeon
Lineage: Archaea
Description: bacterial SSU rRNA
Rfam family: Archaeal small subunit ribosomal RNA
Source: RNAcentral